GUGGUUUUGAUAGGAAUACUGGAUACACUAGGAUUGAGGAAAAUAAAAGAAGAUGUAUUCCGUCCGCCAACCCCCUACGCAAAUCUCAACCAGGAUCGUUUCGUUGCCCCACGACUCUACACCCACUUCAGUACUCCCAGCCCCUCUUACUCCGCUCCUCAUUAUAAUCAAUAAUUUUGAUCUAUUAUUGAUCAUUCUGGGGGACGUGAAAAGCAUACAUGGAUUCCCCUUCACUUCCAGAAAAUUCUUUUCAGCUGAUAUGACGCUCCAGGUACAAGAACCGACCAUCCCCUGAGCCCAUUAACGCCAGGAUGACCAAACAUCACGUGUCGUGGAGGACUAAAACGUUUGUAGGUACUCUUAGGAAUACUGGAUACACUAGGAUUGAGGAAAAUAAAAGAAGAUGUAUUCCGUCCGCCAACCCCCUACGCAAAUCUCAACCAGGAUCGUUUCGUUGCCCCACGACUCUACACCCACUUCAGUACUCCCAGCCCCUCUUACUCCGCUCCUCAUUAUAAUCAAUAAUUUUGAUCUAUUAUUGAUCAUUCUGGGGGACGUGAAAAGCAUACAUGGAUUCCCCUUCACUUCCAGAAAAUUCUUUUCAGCUGAUAUGACGCUCCAGGUACAAGAACCGACCAUCCCCUGAGCCCAUUAACGCCAGGAUGACCAAACAUCACGUGUCGUGGAGGACUAAAACGUUUGUAGGUACUCUUAGGAAUACUGGAUACACUAGGAUUGAGGAAAAUAAAAGAAGAUGUAUUCCGUCCGCCAACCCCCUACGCAAAUCUCAACCAGGAUCGUUUCGUUGCCCCACGACUCUACACCCACUUCAGUACUCCCAGCCCCUCUUACUCCGCUCCUCAUUAUAAUCAAUAAUUUUGAUCUAUUAUUGAUCAUUCUGGGGGACGUGAAAAGCAUACAUGGAUUCCCCUUCACUUCCAGAAAAUUCUUUUCAGCUGAUAUGACGCUCCAGGUACAAGAACCGACCAUCCCCUGAGCCCAUUAACGCCAGGAUGACCAAACAUCACGUGUCGUGGAGGACUAAAACGUUUGUAGGUACUCUUAGGAAUACUGGAUACACUAGGAUUGAGGAAAAUAAAAGAAGAUGUAUUCCGUCCGCCAACCCCCUACGCAAAUCUCAACCAGGAUCGUUUCGUUGCCCCACGACUCU
Homalodisca vitripennis (glassy-winged sharpshooter) is the source of this 1171-nucleotide long non-coding RNA. RefSeq lists it as uncharacterized. Lineage: Eukaryota; Metazoa; Arthropoda; Insecta; Hemiptera; Cicadellidae. The record is from RefSeq and is a predicted model, not a curated record. The transcript has 4 exons.